RNAcentral lists this transfer RNA (72 nucleotides) under Brachystegia kennedyi. RNAcentral's name for it is "tRNA-Val". The stretch from base 18 to 72 matches the Rfam family "tRNA", at positions 1 to 54 of the family's 71-position model. From Rfam's summary of the family: Transfer RNA (tRNA) molecules are approximately 80 nucleotides in length. Their secondary structure includes four short double-helical elements and three loops (D, anti-codon, and T loops). Further hydrogen bonds mediate the characteristic L-shaped molecular structure. tRNAs have two regions of fundamental functional importance: the anti-codon, which is responsible for specific mRNA codon recognition, and the 3' end, to which the tRNAs corresponding amino acid is attached (by aminoacyl-tRNA synthetases). tRNAs cope with the degeneracy of the genetic code in two manners: having more than one tRNA (with a specific anti-codon) for a particular amino acid; and 'wobble' base-pairing, i.e. permitting non-standard base-pairing at the 3rd anti-codon position. Lineage: Eukaryota; Viridiplantae; Streptophyta; Magnoliopsida; Fabales; Fabaceae. The record is from RNAcentral.
UCGAUGGGGGCAAGGGAAGGGAUAUAACUCAGCGGUAGAGUGUCACCUUGACGUGGUGGAAGUCAUCAGUUC